GAGUUUGAUCAUGGCUCAGGAUGAACGCUGGCGGCGUGCCUAACACAUGCAAGUCGAACGAGCGCUUUCGGGCGCGAGUGGCGGACGGGUGAGUAACGCGUGGAUAACCUGCCUUAUACAGGGGGAUAACAGCGGGAAACUGCUGUUAAUACCGCAUAAGCGCACAGUACCGCAUGGUACAGUGUGAAAAGCUCCGGCGGUAUAAGGAUGGAUCCGCGUCUGAUUAGCCAGUUGGCGGGGUAACGGCCCACCAAAGCGACGAUCAGUAGCCGACUUGAGAGAGUGACCGGCCACAUUGGGACUGAGACACGGCCCAAACUCCUACGGGAGGCAGCAGUGGGGAAUAUUGCACAAUGGGGGAAACCCUGAUGCAAGCGACGCCGCGUGAGUGAAGAAGUAUUUCGGUAUGUAAAGCUCUAUCAGCAGGGAAGAAAAUGACGGUACCUGACUAAGAAGCCCCGGCUAAAUACGUGCCAGCCGCAGC
Molecule: ribosomal RNA, 484 nt
Filed under: uncultured bacterium
Lineage: Bacteria
Description: bacterial SSU rRNA
Rfam family: Bacterial small subunit ribosomal RNA
Source: RNAcentral